RNAcentral lists this long non-coding RNA (264 nucleotides) under Lathyrus oleraceus (garden pea). RNAcentral's name for it is "Pisum sativum (pea) long non-coding RNA (PSAT_LNC042352)". Lineage: Eukaryota; Viridiplantae; Streptophyta; Magnoliopsida; Fabales; Fabaceae. The record is from RNAcentral.
GGGAGGUGAAUUAUAGGGCUAGUGUGUUUCUAAGAAAAGAUUGCUUUAAUAUUUAUUAAUUGUUUAAUUAUUUAUGUACCUAAAAUAUUUUAUUAUUAAAAAAAAAAGAAAAUUGACUAAUUAGUAAAAGGAGACCUAAAAAGUUUUUGAUUAUUAUACUUACUAGAGUUUUACAACUAUAUGCCUACAUACUCUCACUUUUAAUGAAGGAUCAAAGUCUCGUAGUUAUGGUAAAGAAUAUUUGUUUAUUUGUUGUUUUUAUCC